GGCGUAGGCCGGCAUGCCUUAACAAUGCAGUCGACGAUAAACACUUCUCUGUCUAUUAGUGACGAACGAAUGAGUAACAAAUGCGUCAUAUGCCCUGCACUCUUGGACAAUCCCUGAACACAGGCUCUAAUACCGGACACUGCACACGUUUGGAUGAUCCCAGCGGGUUCGAAAGCUCCUGCGGUGCAUGAAGAGCCCGAGGGCCUAUCAGCUUGUUGGUGAGGUAAUGGCUCACCAAGGCCGACGACGUGUAGCCGGCCUGAGAGGACGACCGGCCACACUGGGACUGAGACACGGCCCAGACUCCUACGGGAGGCAGCAGUGGGGAAUAUUGCACAAUGGGCGAAAGCCUGAUGCAGCGACUCCGCGUGAGGGAUGACGGCCUUCGGGUUGUAAACCUCUUUCUGCAGGGAAGAAGCGGAUGUGACGGUACCUGCAGGAACACGCGCCGGCUAUGUACGUGCCAGCAGCCGCGGUAUUACUGACGGCGCGAGCGUUGUCCGGAAUUAUGGGGCGUAUAGAGCUAGUAAGCGGCUUGUCACGUCGGUCGUGAAAUCCCGUGGCUUAGACGUGGGUCUGCAGUCGAUACGGUGAGGCUAGAGUUUGUGACGGCAUAUCUGAAUUCCUGGUGAAGCGGUGAAAUGUGCACAUGUAACGAUGAACUGCGGUGAUGUACGCAGAACUAUGGAUCGAUACUGACGCUCAGGAGCGAUGUCGUGACGCUCGAGCAGGAUUACAUGCCCUGGUAAUCCGAGCAGUUAACGGGGGGCUCUACGUGUGGGCGAUUUCCACGUCGUCUGGGCCGCACCUGACGCAUUAGUGCCCCGCCUGGGGAAUACGGCCGCACGGCUAAGUCUCGCAGGAAUGGACAGGCUCCCGCGAAUUCAGCGGAACCCGUGGUUUAAUUCGAAGCAACGCGUAAAAUCUUACCAAGGCUUGACAUAUUACGGACAUGUCAGGAGAUGGGCGCUCCCUUGAGAUCGCUGUACGCGUGAUGCAUGGCUGUCAUCAGCUCGUGUCAUGAAAUUUUGCGUUAGUCCCGCAACAAGUGGAAUCAUUUCCCGUGUUGCCGCAACCCUUCGGGGUUUUGGGGAAUCGGCGAUACGGCGGGUUCCCCUCGAAAAAAGGGGGGAAGAGGUAAGACAUCAAGCCCCUAGGGCUUGGGGGGGGGCCUGCUCCAAUGGCCCAGUAGAGACUACG
RNAcentral lists this ribosomal RNA (1200 nucleotides) under Streptomyces sp. RNAcentral describes it as "bacterial SSU rRNA". It matches the Rfam family "Bacterial small subunit ribosomal RNA", at positions 32 to 1254 of the family's 1533-position model. Lineage: Bacteria; Bacillati; Actinomycetota; Actinomycetes; Kitasatosporales; Streptomycetaceae. The record is from RNAcentral.